AGUGAACGCUGGCGGUAUGCCUAACACAUGCAAGUCGAACGGCAGCACAGUAAGAGCUUGCGCUUACGGGUGGCGAGUGGCGGACGGGUGAGGAAUACAUCGGAAUCUACUUUUUCGGGGGGGAUAACGUAGGGAAACUUACGCUAAUACCGCAUACGACCUACGGGUGAAAGCAGGGGAUCUUCGGACCUUGCGCGAUUGAAUGAGCCGAUGUCGGAUUAGCUAGUUGGCGGGGUAAAGGCCCACCAAGGCGACGAUCCGUAGCUGGUAUGAGAGGAUGAUCCGCCACACUGGAACUGAGACACGGUCGAGACUCCUACGGGAGGACGCAGUGGGGAAUAUUGGACAAUGGGCGCAAGCCUGAUACAGCAAUACCGCGUGGGUGAAGAAGGCCUUCGGGUUGUAAAGCCCUUUUGUUGGGAAAGAAAAGCAGCAGGUUAAUACCCCGCUGUUCUGACGGUACCCAAAGAAUAAGCACCGGCUAACUUCGUG
RNAcentral lists this ribosomal RNA (492 nucleotides) under uncultured bacterium. RNAcentral describes it as "partial 16S ribosomal RNA". It matches the Rfam family "Bacterial small subunit ribosomal RNA", at positions 29 to 507 of the family's 1533-position model. The record is from RNAcentral.